RNAcentral lists this ribosomal RNA (245 nucleotides) under uncultured Lactobacillus sp. RNAcentral's name for it is "partial 16S ribosomal RNA". It matches the Rfam family "Bacterial small subunit ribosomal RNA", at positions 118 to 355 of the family's 1533-position model. The record is from RNAcentral. Lineage: Bacteria; Bacillati; Bacillota; Bacilli; Lactobacillales; Lactobacillaceae.
UGGGUAACCUGCCCAAGAGAUCGGGAUAACACCUGGAAACAGAUGCUAAUACCGGAUAACAACAGAUGAUGCCUAUCAACUGUUUAAAAGAUGGUUCUGCUAUCACUCUUGGAUGGACCUGCGGUGCAUUAGCUAGUUGGUAGGGUAACGGCCUACCAAGGCGAUGAUGCAUAGCCGAGUUGAGAGACUGAUCGGCCACAUUGGGACUGAGACACGGCCCAAACUCCUACGGGAGGCAGCAGCCC